This is a non-coding RNA of Chelonoidis abingdonii (Abingdon island giant tortoise), 143 nucleotides long. Lineage: Eukaryota; Metazoa; Chordata; Testudines; Testudinidae. The record is from RefSeq and is a predicted model, not a curated record.
ACCAUCAUGAUCAUCUAGCGUGACUUGCACAUUGCAGGCCACAGAACCUCACCCAUCCACUCCUGUAAAAGACCUCUAACCUCCGGCUGAGUGACUGAAGUCUUCAAAUCAAGGUUUAAAGACAUCAAAAGAGCAAAGAAUCC